Molecule: ribosomal RNA, 450 nt
Filed under: uncultured Glomeromycotina
Lineage: Eukaryota; Fungi; Glomeromycota
Description: SSU rRNA
Rfam family: Eukaryotic small subunit ribosomal RNA
Source: RNAcentral
AGCAGCCGCGGUAAUUCCAGCUCCAAUAGCGUAUAUUAAAGUUGUUGCAGUUAAAAAGCUCGUAGUUGAAUUUCGGGAUUAGUACGUUGGUCGUGCCUUCGGUACGUACUGGUGUUACUGAUUCCUACCUUCUGACGAACCAUCACGUCAUUAAUUUGGUGUUAUGGGGAGUUAGGACUGUUACUUUGAAAAAAUUAGAGUGUUUAAAGCAGGCUAACGCCUGAAUACAUUAGCAUGGAAUAAUGAAAUAGGACGUUCGAUCCUAUUUUGUUGGUUUCUAGGAUUGACGUAAUGAUUAAUAGGGAUAGUUGGGGGCAUUAGUAUUCAAUUGUCAGAGGUGAAAUUCUUGGAUUUAUUGAAGACUAACUACUGCGAAAGCAUUUGCCAAGGAUGUUUUCAUUAAUCAAGAACGAAAGUUAGGGGAUCGAAGACGAUCAGAUACCGUCGUAG